This is a non-coding RNA of Cinara cedri, 1420 nucleotides long. Lineage: Eukaryota; Metazoa; Arthropoda; Insecta; Hemiptera; Aphididae. The record is from the annotation of a GenBank genome assembly.
GUGAUUAGUUAAUAUACAAUAUAAUAUACAUGUGAAAAAACACGAAUAGACGAAUUUCCAAUUUAUUUGAAGAAAUAAUAAACAUAUACAUAUAUAUAUAUACGUAUAUGUAGACUAACUUCUAUAUAUUAACAGUUAAAACCUGAAAUUCGUCAAAACUAGUUUCCACAAAUCCCUUUAGUAAAUUCUAGUUUUUACUAGUUAAAACUAAAAUUAACUACAGAUUUUAAUAAGUCAGUCAAAACUAAUUUUUACUGAAACGCAUGUAUUCCAACCUGUAAAACAUACCUAAAACAUCUAUAAAUAUUUCCCCAUAAAUUCGACUGGCUGGUUAUCAAAUCAAUUAACAUAACUUUAACCAGUCGUCCAUCAAAUCACUUUUAGAUAUGAUAACUUCGACCGAUUAUACCUAAUAGAUAAUAAUUCUGCUGCCGUAGCUUUUGUCCCCGUGUUUUCAGUUUUGCCAGUUCGUUUGUCUUCACUGUAGUCAUUGUACCUACGUGUGUGUCUGUCUGGCGCAACUAGUUUAAAGUAUCAAAAUCAAAAUUACGGAUUUUCAAUAGAUAAUUCUAGUUUUCACCAAUAUAUUUCAAACAAAACUAGUUCUAACUGAACAAAAAUAUGUUAAAUAUAAUUUUACCGGUGAAGGUCUAAGUUAAUUUUAGUUUUAACUAAUCAAAAUUAGAAUUGACUAAAAGGAUUUGUGGAAACUAUUUUUAACUAGUUUAAACUAAAAGUAAUGGAUUUCUGGUUUUAACUGUAACAUAUAUAUUUAAAUUAUUAGUAAAAUUAUCCGGCUAUGCAAGGGUACAGUAAGACGAAAGUGGGUCUAUUUUAAGGGAUUCAGUAUAGGUAAUAUUUAAUACACUUGAAUGUAUGCUGUCACGCUUAAUGCGUAGCGUAUAUUAUAUACCGAAUCACAAAAAGUUAUACUUGAAUUUAUUAUAACAGAAUGCAUAAUGAUAAUAUUAUGGAAUGAAUAUUAUUGUGCACGGUGUAAGAAUUAUUAAUAUUUUGUAUAGUGGAGACUGUCAUGCAAAAUAAUGGUGUAUCGAUUUUAAAGCUAUAAACCACCCACCCACUCUAACACAAAAGUUGUAUGGACUAUUAGGUAACUAAUAUGUACAGUACACACUCAUAACACAUCCUUUAAUAGUAUUUUACUCCAUAUAUUGUAUAACUUUAUAAAAGUCAUUCAUCUACCAUAACCACCCAUCAACCCACCCAAUUUCAAAAAUGUAUCGAAAGUUCCACAUUUAGUAUGGGAUAGCCGCCACUGGUUUUAAAAAUCAUUACUAGCAAAAAAACGCUUUUUAAAAGAGCAGCUCACUAUCCCAGUUAAGCAGUUAAUAAAAAUAAAUAACAACAAAUCAUAAAGUUAUCAGAAUAAUUUAAACAUUUUAUCGCGUUCAUAAUAGGC